AGGAUAGUAGUUAAUUAUAACAUUUGAAUUGCACUCAAAAAGUAUUGAACUUACUUA
RNAcentral lists this transfer RNA (57 nucleotides) under Neogeoscapheus dahmsi. RNAcentral describes it as "tRNA-Ala". The record is from RNAcentral. Lineage: Eukaryota; Metazoa; Arthropoda; Insecta; Blattodea; Blaberidae.